RNAcentral lists this transfer RNA (65 nucleotides) under Paroster microsturtensis. Its description in RNAcentral is "tRNA-Ala". Lineage: Eukaryota; Metazoa; Arthropoda; Insecta; Coleoptera; Dytiscidae. The record is from RNAcentral.
GGGAAUAUAGUUAAUUAUAACAUUUAGGUUGCAUCUAAAAAAUAUUGAAGACUCAAUUAUUCUUA